GGGGGGUUUACUUAUGCAUAUUCUCCAAAACUAUCAAAUCUUAAAAACCGACAAAAAAAAUGCGUAACCAAAGACAACUUUCACCAAAACCCUAAAACCCAGCAGCAGCAAAAUAAUCAAAAUCCCAAAAGAAUCAAACCCUUAAGGCUCCGUUUAGUUUACAACAGAAACGAAAUGAGAAUUUGAAUCCCAUUCGAUUCCCCUAUUUAAGAUGCUGAUUUUUGGAAAUUAAAUAUGCGGCCAAAUGCCCCAAAAACUUGCUAGAAAUUGUAUAACCUUAAAUUUUGAUGGUACUCGAAUUCCGCUACUAUUAUCUAUCAGGCGUCUGGCUUUUGCCACUCCAACCCCAAGCACCCACGCCCAGCGCAGCUCCGUCCUCUGCACUGACGCAACCAACAUAUCGAGUCAUUCACCAAGCAAUUAAGACUCAUUGACACAUGGAUAGAUGCCAAAUACACACACCCCCAACGAAGGAAAGCGAGCAAGUGAAAGAGAGAGAGAGCACUUACCAGGAGAAACAAGCGGGGACUAGCUCAGCUGGGUGUGCAAAUUUGAGCGAUGAGGAAAAGCGAGUCUCCUACCCUAAGCGCUUUGAGGCUCAAUAAUUGGUCGGGCGUGAUCGGAAGCAUUUCUUUGUGCAGCCGUUCAGACGAAGGCCCAAUCCGACGUCGGUUUAGGAAAAACGGAUGACGCAUUGUUGAUCAAAUUUUACUUUUUACACAAAACAUUUUAUGUUACUUUUGAAAUAUUUUUAAAGUAAUUUUAAUUAUAUUUA
RNAcentral lists this unclassified non-coding RNA (775 nucleotides) under Hevea brasiliensis (rubber tree). Lineage: Eukaryota; Viridiplantae; Streptophyta; Magnoliopsida; Malpighiales; Euphorbiaceae. The record is from RNAcentral.